This 258-nucleotide ribosomal RNA is filed under the name uncultured bacterium. Its description in RNAcentral is "partial 16S ribosomal RNA". It matches the Rfam family "Bacterial small subunit ribosomal RNA", at positions 524 to 776 of the family's 1533-position model. The record is from RNAcentral.
GACGUAGGGCGCGAGCGUUGUCCGGAUUUAUUGGGCGGUAAAGAGCUCGUAGGCGGCUUGUCGCGUCGACUGUGAAACCCGCGGCUCAACCGCGGCCUGCAGCCGGAUACGGGCAGGCUAGAGUUCGGGUAGGGGAGACUGGAAUUCCUGGUGUAGCGGUAGAAAUGCGCAGAUAUCGAGGAGGAACACCGAUGGCGGAAGGCAGGUCUCUGGGCCGAUACUGACGCUGAGGAGCGGAAAGCAUGGGGAGCGAACAGG